GCAUUGGUAGUGUAGUGGUAUCACGGGACGUUGCCAUCGUCCCGACCGGGGUUCGAUUCCCCGUCAAUGCA
Molecule: non-coding RNA, 71 nt
Organism: Mycosarcoma maydis (corn smut)
Lineage: Eukaryota; Fungi; Basidiomycota; Ustilaginomycetes; Ustilaginales
Source: the annotation of a RefSeq genome assembly